Molecule: ribosomal RNA, 308 nt
Filed under: Borealea nobilis
Lineage: Eukaryota; Metazoa; Mollusca; Gastropoda; Nudibranchia; Coryphellidae
Description: eukaryotic LSU rRNA
Rfam family: Eukaryotic large subunit ribosomal RNA
Source: RNAcentral
CAACCGGGAUUCCCCCAGUAACGGCGAGUGAAGCGGGAACAGCCCAGCGCCGAAUCCACCGUGGCUAACGCCCGGCUGGAACUGUGGCGUGUGGGACGCGGCCAGUCGGCUGGAAAGAUACCCGAGUCCCCCCGAGCGGGGCCCUUCCCAUAGCGGGUGCCAGGCCUCUGCCGGUAUCUAUCCGGUCGACCGCUGCAGUCUCUGGAGUCGGGUUGCUUGGGAAUGCAGCCCGAAGCGGGAGGUAAACUCCUCCUAAGGCUAAAUACCGGCGCGAGUCCGAUAGCGGACAAGUACCGCGAGGGAAAGUU